This 347-nucleotide ribosomal RNA is filed under the name uncultured bacterium. Its description in RNAcentral is "bacterial SSU rRNA". It matches the Rfam family "Bacterial small subunit ribosomal RNA", at positions 28 to 361 of the family's 1533-position model. The record is from RNAcentral.
GACGAACGCUGGCGGCGUGCUUAACACAUGCAAGUCGAGCGGUAAGGCCCUUUCGGGGGUACGACGAGCGGCGAACGGGUAGGAGUAACAACGUGGGUGGACCUCGCCCUCCAGCUCUGGGAGUAAAGCCUGGGAAACCGGGAAGCUAAUACCGGAUACUCUCGGCCGAUCACAUGGCUGGCCGAGGAAAGGUACCGCCGGUCGAGGGAGUGGGCCCGGCCGGCCUAUCAGCUUGUUGGUGGGGUAACGGCCACCAAGGCGACGACGGGUAGCUGGUCUGAGAGGACGACCAGCCACACUGGAACUGAGAUACGGUCCAGACUCCUACGGGAGGCAGCAGUGGGGAA